AUGAGUGGCUCACAAGAAGAGAUUGUUACAAGAGCUAAGACCAAGCAACAACAACAACAACAGCUGCAGCAGCAACAGCCAAAGAAAAGAGGCUCAAUUUCAGGGGUAACAGCCGGACUAGCAGGAACAACAGGACAAGAUAAAGGAACAGCCGCUUCUAUGGAAGCUGUGACAGAUGCUCUGCUCAAGAUAAACCAAACUCUGGAGUCUUUGACAAAACAGACUUCAGAGAAUACACAAAAAUUAACAGAAAUAUCAGUAAGAUUAAAUCAGAACACAGAAUCUAUAAAUAAAUUGGUGGAGGAAAACGCCACCACGCGCAAAAUUGCUGAAGAGGCUAAAGCGACUGCUGGAGAGACACAGGAGAAACUAGAGCCGAUUGCUAAGAAGGUUUAUGAGCAUGAUGCAACUUUGGCCUUGUGGGACCUACAGAGAAAAGAGAGAAACUUGAAAUUAAGACUGAUUCCGGAGAAUGAAAGAGACAAUCUUGUGGAAUAUUUGACACGUGAGUUUGUGGAUUGUUGGGACCUUGAGGAAGACGAAUUUAAAAUCACGACAGCUUUUAGAUUAGGUAAAAAGCAAGACAGAAAGACCCCGAGAGAUUGUUUGAUCACACUCAGAUCCAAGGAGGAAAGAGACAAAAUAUUAGGACUACACUUUGAAAAGGCCUUGCGAAUUGGAAAUUCAGCUGUACAGAUCUUUAAAGACAUCCCAAAAUACAUUUUGGAUUUAAGAAACUUCUACAAGGAUUUGGUUCUUUUGUUAAAGAAAAAUUCCAUUCGUUUCAGGUGGGAGUUCCCACAAGGACUGUCAUUCGACUACAAGCUAAAGAAGGUGAAAAUAAAGACAAUUCAAGACAAGGAUAAAUUUCUGGCAAGAAACCAGGAGGACCUACAGAAGGGGACUGUGGAUGUAAUUGCAGAACAGAGGAGAGCAUUGGAGAUUUUGAACCUCUCGACCGGACAAAAACCACCACCAUCAGAAGAAGAGCAACAACUUGGAGCUGUUGGAGGAGCUGUUGGAGGAGUUUAGAAAAAUAACAAGAUGGCUCUGCAAUUCCUUAGUUGGAAUUGUAAUGGGCUUAAUGGGCCUUUGAAGAGAAGACAAGUAUUUCAUAUAUUGAACAAAGAACAACUGGACCUGAUAUGUCUACAAGAAACUCACAUAACCAGAGCCCACAGGAGACUACUCAUCAACAAAAGGCUAGGACAAGAAUUUAUUUCAUCAGAUAAAGUUAAGAAAAGAGGAGUUGUAAUAUAUGUGAAAGAGAAAUGGGCCCCAAAAAUGAUAUUCAAGGACGAACAAGGGAGAUACCUGGCAGUGGAAAUACAAGUACAAGGAGAAAAAUUUUUAGUGGUUGGAAUUUAUGCACCGAAUGAAGGCAAAUCUGACUUCUUUAAGAGACUUCACGAAACCCUGACUGACUAUUUGGAUUACAAUAUGAUAAUCAUGGGAGACAUGAAUGGCGUGGUCUCCACUAAUAUGGACAAGGCACAAAGACUAACAGUUAGCAAGGAAGGGAGACUCCCUAAGACUUUUUUUGAAAUGACAGAAAAUAUGGACUUGAUAGAUAUAUGGAGAACAAGGAACCCUCUGGAGAGAGAGGGAACUUUCUUCUCCCAAGCAAUGAUGACCUGGACCAGAAUCGAUCAAAUUUGGAUUACUAGUGGAAUGGCUCCAAAGAUUAAGAAAGUGGAAAUCUGUCCAAAAACUUGCUCCGACCAAACGCCCUGAAGAUGGAGAUGAAAAUCACAAUAACUGGUCAAUUUAGAUGGAGAAUGAAUGACACCCUCUUUCGAGAUAAGGAGAUUCUCACGAAGGCCCAAAAGACUCUAAAAGACUACUUUGAAAUAAAUCUGAGGACCGACGUGGAGAAAAGAGUGAUCUGGGAUGCAAGUAAGGCGGUAAUGAGAGGAUUUUUGAUACAACAAAAUUCAAUAAAGAGGAAAAAACAGAAUGAGAAAAAAGAAAAGAUUUUGGAAAUGAUAAAGGAAGGAGAGAGAAAAUUAAGAACAAAACCAAAGUCUCAGGACAUCUUAAGAGAGAUUAAGUUGUAUCAAACACAAUAUAUGGAAUUGAUGAACCAAGAGAUUGAAUGGAAGAUAAAGCAAAUGAAGCAAAAGACUUUUGAAUCAGCAAAUAAAUGUGGCAAACUCUUGGCAUGGCAACUGAAGAAAAGGCAGAAACUAAAUACAGUUACAAGCCUAGAGGUGGAUGGGAAAAAUAUAUCUAAACCCAAUGAAAUCAGAAACUGCUUUCUAAGUUACUUCAAAAAACUUUACACUCAAGGCCCGCAAAAUGAAGAAGACAUAGAUAAAUUCCUUGGAAAAUAUGGAUUACAAAGUAUCUCUCACCAAAGUAAGAUGGAUUUGAGCCAGAGAAUCUCAGAACAAGAGAUAGAGGCUGCCAUUCAGAAUAUGCAAUUGGGCAAAUCUCCAGGACCGAUGGACUGACUUCCGGAUACUACAAAUCGUUGAAGGAAUGGUUGAUUCAACCAUUAAGAGAAGUUUGUAACGAGAUCCUUGAGGGAAAAAAGGCACCUGAAUCGUGGAAAGAAGCAUAUAUUUCACUCAUACCAAAAUCAGAGACUGAAAAGACUCAACUCAAGAACUACCGCCCAAUAUCAUUGCUUAAUGUGGAUUACAAAAUUUUUGCAGACAUUUUGGCAA
This 2669-nucleotide long non-coding RNA is filed under the name Podarcis muralis (Common wall lizard). Its description in RNAcentral is "lncRNA (ENSPMRG00000002531.1)". Lineage: Eukaryota; Metazoa; Chordata; Lepidosauria; Squamata; Lacertidae. The record is from RNAcentral.